CGGGCUUGGUGGCGCAAGCCUGUGACCCAAGUGGGGGCACCAAGGUGACUGGACGUGGGCCGAGCUCAGAAGGCUGGGUCUGGGUUAGCAAAUUGCUGGUCCGCCCGUUCCAAGUGGAGAGUUGAGGCAUAUGACCCAUUCGAAAGCUUAGGCCUUGUGGUUCCUAGAGCGGAGGGCAAUGCGUGAGGCUGGUUUCACAGAGCAGCGAAAACCUCCCGCUCUCUGCGGUGGAAGGAUUACGGACCGGUGCUUCUCAGACCCUUUAACACCCAAUGAGCUGGUCACAUCGAACGGUUCCAUCUUUUUUAUAUGCUGGUUUGGUAAAGCUUUCCAUCUACCCAGUAAAUAAGAAAAGACGAGAGGAUUUCGCUAUUUUUUCUUUAUGUUGGAAUAUUUGUGAUUACAAGUUCUUGAUAAGCGUAUUGGUUUUGCAUUGCAGGCGACAAAAUUGUCCGGACAACGCUCAAACACAAGCUAUUUGGGCUUGAAGGGACAUGAUGAAAACCCGUGAAUCAAGUUAGGUAGAGCGAGCUCGGGUGGAAUUGGGACAUAGCUUGUCUUUGGAUGAAGUUACGUAGUAAAACGACCAGUUUCUAUGUUGUGGGCUCUUUCAAUUCUGUUGAGUUUGGGAAGUAGUUAUAUACUGCAUCUUCUUGUACAAUCAAAGUUGUGGGCUCCGUUGUGUCCGAUGCAGUUGUUUCUGAUAGUAAGCGUUGCAAUAUUUUGGGAAACAAGCAGUUAUGAAUGACUGAAUUCGGUCAUGUUCUUGGUUUAAUGGCUGAGAUGUUUACGUUUAGCACGACUAACUUCCGUUUGGAAAGGGCUUAGCAGCAGCAGCAGCUUGAUCAGGGUCCUGAGAGAAAGCGCAGUCCCACAUCGGUAGAUUUAGAGAAGAUUCAAUAAUUUAUAAAGACAUGAAAGUGGGAGACUUAUCGCUGGGCUUGGUAGCGCAAGCCUGUAACCCAAGUGGGGGCAUCAGGGUGACUGGACAUGGGCUGAGCCCAGAAGGUUGGGCCUUUGGUUGCUAAUUCUGGCCCGCCCGCUCCAAGUGGAGAGUUGGGCCAUGCGAUCCAUUCGAAAGUUUGGGCCUCGUGGUUCCUAGAGCGGAGGGCAAUGCGUCAGGCUGGCUUCACAGAGCAGCGAAAACCUCCCGCUCUCUACGGUGGAAGGACUACGGGUCGGUGCUUCCCAGGCUCUGUAACGCCCAAUGGGCUGGUCUCAUCGAACGGUCACCUUUUUUUUAAUUUUAAAUUGGGAAAAAGAUACUGCUUCCCCC
RNAcentral lists this long non-coding RNA (1276 nucleotides) under Actinidia chinensis (golden kiwifruit). RNAcentral describes it as "long non-coding RNA (ACHI_LNC002302)". The stretch from base 935 to 1237 matches the Rfam family "Plant signal recognition particle RNA". The record is from RNAcentral. Lineage: Eukaryota; Viridiplantae; Streptophyta; Magnoliopsida; Ericales; Actinidiaceae.